UACAUGCAAGUCGAACGAACUCUGGUAUUGAUUGGUGCUUGCAUCAUGAUUUACAUUUGAGUGAGUGGCGAACUGGUGAGUAACACGUGGGAAACCUGCCCAGAAGCGGGGGAUAACACCUGGAAACAGAUGCUAAUACCGCAUAACAACUUGGACCGCAUGGUCCGAGUUUGAAAGAUGGCUUCGGCUAUCACUUUUGGAUGGUCCCGCGGCGUAUUAGCUAGAUGGUGRGGUAACGGCUCACCAUGGCAAUGAUACGUAGCCGACCUGAGAGGGUAAUCGGCCACAUUGGGACUGAGACACGGCCCAAACUCCUACGGGAGGCAGCAGUAGGGAAUCUUCCACAAUGGACGAAAGUCUGAUGGAGCAACGCCGCGUGAGUGAAGAAGGGUUUCGGCUCGUAAAACUCUGUUGUUAAAGAAGAACAUAUCUGAGAGUAACUGUUCAGGUAUUGACGGUAUUUAACCAGAAAGCCACGGCUAACUACGUGCCAGCAGCCGCGGUAAUACGUAGGUGGCAAGCGUUGUCCGGAUUUAUUGGGCGUAAAGCGAGCGCAGGCGGUUUUUUAAGUCUGAUGUGAAAGCCUUCGGCUCAACCGAAGAAGUGCAUCGGAAACUGGGAAACUUGAGUGCAGAAGAGGACAGUGGAACUCCAUGUGUAGCGGUGAAAUGCGUAGAUAUAUGGAAGAACACCAGUGGCGAAGGCGGCUGUCUGGUCUGUAACUGACGCUGAGGCUCGAAAGUAUGGGUAGCAAACAGGAUUAGAUACCCUGGUAGUCCAUACCGUAAACGAUGAAUGCUAAGUGUUGGAGGGUUUCCGCCCUUCAGUGCUGCAGCUAACGCAUUAAGCAUUCCGCCUGGGGAGUACGGCCGCAAGGCUGAAACUCAAAGGAAUUGACGGGGGCCCGCACAAGCGGUGGAGCAUGUGGUUUAAUUCGAAGCUACGCGAAGAACCUUACCAGGUCUUGACAUACUAUGCAAAUCUAAGAGAUUAGACGUUCCCUUCGGGGACAUGGAUACAGGUGGUGCAUGGUUGUCGUCAGCUCGUGUCGUGAGAUGUUGGGUUAAGUCCCGCAACGAGCGCAACCCUUAUUAUCAGUUGCCAGCAUUAAGUUGGGCACUCUGGUGAGACUGCCGGUGACAAACCGGAGGAAGGUGGGGAUGACGUCAAAUCAUCAUGCCCCUUAUGACCUGGGCUACACACGUGCUACAAUGGAUGGUACAACGAGUUGCGAACUCGCGAGAGUAAGCUAAUCUCUUAAAGCCAUUCUCAGUUCGGAUUGUAGGCUGCAACUCGCCUACAUGAAGUCGGAAUCGCUAGUAAUCGCGGAUCAGCAUGCCGCGGUGAAUACGUUCCCGGGCCUUGUACACACCGCCCGUCACACCAUGAGAGUUUGUAACACCCAAAGUCGGUGGGGUAACCUUUUAGGAACCAGCCGCCUA
This 1442-nucleotide ribosomal RNA is filed under the name Lactiplantibacillus plantarum. Its description in RNAcentral is "bacterial SSU rRNA". It matches the Rfam family "Bacterial small subunit ribosomal RNA". The record is from RNAcentral. Lineage: Bacteria; Bacillati; Bacillota; Bacilli; Lactobacillales; Lactobacillaceae.